AUGGACGACGGUGGCCGGGUGCUGACAGUUCCCCUCCUGGUGCUCCUGCUGGUCAGCCUCGCUGGCUCGAGCCCUCCGCCGGCGCCGGUGGUCUGUGCCCACGGCACGUCCGAUUGCACUGUCUCCAACGCGUACGGCUCCUUCCCGGACCGCACCGUCUGCCACGCCGCCAACGCCACCUUCCCGCGCACCGAGAAGGAGCUAGUUGCGGCCGUGGCAGCAGUGGCGGCGGCCAAGCGCAAGGUGAAGGUGGCCACCAAGCACUCCCACAGCUUCCCCAAACUGGCCUGCCCCGGCGGCCGCGAUGGCACGAUCAUAAGCACGGAGCGCCUCAACCGGGUGGUAAGCGUGGACGCCGUCAAGGGGCUUAUGACGGUGGAAAGCGGCAUGGUGCUCCGCGACCUGAUCCAGGCGGCUGCCGAGGCAGGGCUCGCGCUGCCGCACUCGCCGUACUGGUCAGGGCUCACCAUCGGAGGCCUGCUGGCCACGGGCGCGCACGGCAGUUCGCUCAAGGGUAAGGGUGGCGCCGUUCACGAGUACGUGGUUGGGAUGAGGAUCGUCACGCCGGCGCCGGCGAGCCAAGGGUUCGCGGUGGUACGGGAGCUCUGCGCCGACCAUCCUGACCUCAACGCGGCCAAGGUCUCCCUCGGCGUCCUUGGCGUCGUUUCCCAGGUUACACUGGCCUUACAACCGAUGUUCAAGCGGUCGGUGACGUUCGUGACGCGUGACGACUUGGACAUUGUAGAGCAGGCAUCCAAGUGGAGCGACCUGCAUGAGUUCGGUGAUAUGGCAUGGUUGCCACAACAGGGCAAGGUUAUUUACCGCGAGGACGACCGCAUGUCCAUCGAGUUGAUGGGCGACGGCCUCAAUGACUACCUAGCCUUCCGCUCCACCCCAACGGCAGUGCUCAUCAACGCCAGAGUCGCCAUGGAGCCUCUUGAGAAGAACAUCAAUGCCAUUGCUCGGUGCAAGGCCGCUGAGGCGACAAUAUCAUUGUUUGAGAUGGCAGCAUACGGCUACUCCAACAAUGGCAGCUUGUUCACUGGGUACCCUGUGGUGGGGUUUCAACACCAGAUCCAAGCUUCUAGCGGAUGCAUCGGCAGCUCAAAAGAUGCGCUCCUCACCUCAUGCGCAUGGGACCCGCGCAUCGAGGGAACCUUCUUCUACAGCAAUGGCUACAGCAUUGCGCUCUCUAGGGUGUCGGCAUUCAUCGCCGACAUGCAGCAACUCCGUGACCGCAGCCCGCUGGCCUUCUGCGGAAUCGAUGCUAGUGUGGGUAUGCUCCUCCGCUACGUCAAAGCAUCCUCCGCCUACCUCGGCAAGCCAGAGGACUCGAUCGACUUUGAUAUAGCCUACUAUCGGAGUUACACCAAGGGUGAGCCCAACCCACACUCUGAUGUAUUCGACGAGCUCGAGCAGAUGGCACUGCACAAGUAUGACGCCAUCCCACACUGGGGCAAGAACCGCAACUUUGCCUUUGAGGGCGCCAUUGCCAUGUACCCCAAGGCAGGUGAGUUCCUGGAGGUGAAGGGCAGGUACGACCCCGACGGGAUCUUCUCCAGCGAGUGGAGCGACCAGGUGCUCGGCAUCAAUGGGAGCCCGGUCAUUGUCGAGAGGCGUUGCGCCAUCGAGGGGCUUUGCAUCUGCUCAGAAGACUCGCACUGUGCACCGGAGGAGGGCUACUACUGCCGCCCGGGGAAGGUGUACACGGAGGCGAGGGUCUGCUCGUUCGAACCCAUCUCGCACUGUGCACUGGAGGAGGGCUACUACUGCCACCCGGGGAGGUGUACACGGAGGCGAGGGUCUGCUCCUUCGAACCGGCCAUCUGAUGAAUUGUUUUUCUUUAGAUGGCAGCUUUGA
This 1860-nucleotide ribosomal RNA is filed under the name Triticum aestivum (bread wheat). Its description in RNAcentral is "partial small subunit ribosomal RNA". Lineage: Eukaryota; Viridiplantae; Streptophyta; Magnoliopsida; Poales; Poaceae. The record is from RNAcentral.